GUCGGGAUAGCUCAGUUGGUAGAGCAGA
Molecule: non-coding RNA, 28 nt
Filed under: Mus musculus (house mouse)
Lineage: Eukaryota; Metazoa; Chordata; Mammalia; Rodentia; Muridae
Also listed under: 22 other names
Source: RNAcentral